UUAAAGGGCUGCAGUAUAUUGACUGUACAAAGGUAGCAUAAUAAUUAGUCUUUUAAUUGAAGACUUGUAUGAAAGAUUUGAUGAAAUAUUAACUGUCUCUUUUUUAUAUUUAAAAUUUAAUUUUUUAGUAAAAAAGCUAAAAUUUUUUUAAAAGACGAGAAGACCCUAUAGAGUUUUAUAAUUAAAUUAUUUAUAAAUUUUAUUUAUAAAUUAUUUUAUGAUAAAUAGUUUAAUUAUUUUAUUGGGGUGAUAAAAAAAUUAAUUAAACUUUUUUUUUUAUAAAACAUUGAUUAAUGAGUAAUUGAUCCAUAAUUUAUGAUUAAAAGAAAAAAUUACCUUAGGGAUAACAGCGUAAUUUUUUUUUUUAGUUCUUAAAAAAAAAAAAGUUUGCGACCCCAAUGUUGGAUUAAAAAAAAAUUUAAAUGCAAAAGUUUAAAAUUU
Molecule: ribosomal RNA, 441 nt
Filed under: Hesperia comma (common branded skipper)
Lineage: Eukaryota; Metazoa; Arthropoda; Insecta; Lepidoptera; Hesperiidae
Description: partial 16S ribosomal RNA
Source: RNAcentral